This 427-nucleotide ribosomal RNA is filed under the name uncultured bacterium. Its description in RNAcentral is "bacterial SSU rRNA". It matches the Rfam family "Bacterial small subunit ribosomal RNA", at positions 354 to 796 of the family's 1533-position model. The record is from RNAcentral.
GUGAGGAAUCUUCCACAAUGGGCGAAAGCCUGAUGGAGCAACGCCGCGUGCAGGAUGAAGGCCUUCGGGUUGUAAACUGCUUUUAUGAGUGAAGAAUAUGACGGUAACUCAUGAAUAAGCACCGGCUAACUACGUGCCAGCAGCCGCGGUCAUACGUAGGGUGCAAGCAUUAUCCGGAGUGACUGGGCGUAAAGAGUUGCGUAGGUGGUUAUAUAAGUGAAUAGUGAAAUCUGGCGGCUCAACCGUACAGGCUAUUAUUCAAACUGUAUAACUCGAGAAUGGUAGAGGUAACUGGAAUUUCUAGUGUAGGAGUGAAAUCCGUAGAUAUUAGAAGGAACACCAAUGGCGUAGGCAGGUUACUGGACCAUUUCUGACACUGAGGCACGAAAGCGUGGGGAGCGAACCGGAUUAGAUACCCUGGUAGUCC